UUCAGAGGGGGACAACAGUUGGAAACGACUGCUAAUACCGCAUACGAUCCAAUCUCGGCAUCGAGACUGGAUGAAAGGUGGCCUCUAUUUAUAAGCUAUCACUGAAGGAGGGGAUUGCGUCUGAUUAGCUAGUUGGAGGGGUAACGGCCCACCAAGGCGAUGAUCAGUAGCCGGUCUGAGAGGAUGAACGGCCACAUUGGGACUGAGACACGGCCCAG
Molecule: ribosomal RNA, 218 nt
Filed under: uncultured bacterium
Lineage: Bacteria
Description: partial 16S ribosomal RNA
Rfam family: Bacterial small subunit ribosomal RNA
Source: RNAcentral